This 85-nucleotide transfer RNA is filed under the name bacterium HR24. RNAcentral describes it as "tRNA-Thr". The record is from RNAcentral.
UGGGGUGCUGGAAGAUGGGUUCGGCCAUGGCUGUAGUAUAGCCGUGGGCGGGCGGCCGCGGGUUCGAGUCCCGUCGCCCGCUCCA